Molecule: ribosomal RNA, 407 nt
Filed under: Amblyomma compressum
Lineage: Eukaryota; Metazoa; Arthropoda; Arachnida; Ixodida; Ixodidae
Description: partial large subunit ribosomal RNA
Rfam family: Archaeal large subunit ribosomal RNA (bases 284-407)
Source: RNAcentral
AGUAUUUUGACUAUACAAAGGUAUUGAAAAAAAAUUUUAAUUGAAUGCUAAGAAAAUGGACUUACAAUAAAUUUCUUUUUUAAAUUUUUAAAAAUUGAAGUUAAUUUUAUUUGUGCAGAGGCAAUAAUAAAUAUUAGUGACAAGAAGACCCUGAGAAUUUAUUAUUUUGAAAAAAUAAAUAGCUAUUUCAAAAUAUUAAUUGGGGCGAUUAAUAAAAAUUAAUAACUUUAUUUAAAAAAUAAAAUGAUCCAUUAAUAAUGAUUAUAUGAAAAAAUACUCCAGGGAUAACAGCGUAAUAAUUUUUGAUAGUUCAUAUAGACAAAAUAGUUUGCGACCUCGAUGUUGGAUUAGGAUACUUUUAUAGUGAAGAAGCUAUAUUAAGAAGUUUGUUCAACUUUUAAAUUCCU